GCAAGUAAUAUUGCCUACAUAAUAAAAAAAUAUGGAAUUGCCUUUUGAACGCUCCGUCCGGUAUGGUCUGGGUCCUGCGCAAUAAGACUCCGUGAACCUUGUCAGGUCCGGAAGGAAGCAGCAAUAAGCGGAAGCUCUUAUGUGCCGCAGAUUAGCCUUUGCCAGAGCCUGGCGGAGCUUUCAAAGGGCAAUUUGU
RNAcentral lists this signal recognition particle RNA (196 nucleotides) under Clostridiales bacterium. Its description in RNAcentral is "signal recognition particle sRNA large type". It matches the Rfam family "Bacterial large signal recognition particle RNA". Rfam says of the family: The signal recognition particle (SRP) is a universally conserved ribonucleoprotein involved in the co-translational targeting of proteins to membranes. Archaeal SRP consists of a 7S RNA and homologues of the eukaryotic SRP19 and SRP54 proteins. Lineage: Bacteria; Bacillati; Bacillota; Clostridia; Eubacteriales. The record is from RNAcentral.